GCACCUGUCGCCUACCGGCGCGCGGGCCUGCGGCCUUCUAAUCCGCAGGUUCCCGGUUCGAGUCCGGGCGGGGGCA
RNAcentral lists this transfer RNA (76 nucleotides) under Actinomyces sp. RNAcentral's name for it is "tRNA-Arg". It matches the Rfam family "tRNA". From Rfam's summary of the family: Transfer RNA (tRNA) molecules are approximately 80 nucleotides in length. Their secondary structure includes four short double-helical elements and three loops (D, anti-codon, and T loops). Further hydrogen bonds mediate the characteristic L-shaped molecular structure. tRNAs have two regions of fundamental functional importance: the anti-codon, which is responsible for specific mRNA codon recognition, and the 3' end, to which the tRNAs corresponding amino acid is attached (by aminoacyl-tRNA synthetases). tRNAs cope with the degeneracy of the genetic code in two manners: having more than one tRNA (with a specific anti-codon) for a particular amino acid; and 'wobble' base-pairing, i.e. permitting non-standard base-pairing at the 3rd anti-codon position. Lineage: Bacteria; Bacillati; Actinomycetota; Actinomycetes; Actinomycetales; Actinomycetaceae. The record is from RNAcentral.